RNAcentral lists this ribosomal RNA (1790 nucleotides) under Pinus taeda (loblolly pine). Its description in RNAcentral is "SSU rRNA". It matches the Rfam family "Eukaryotic small subunit ribosomal RNA". Lineage: Eukaryota; Viridiplantae; Streptophyta; Pinopsida; Pinales; Pinaceae. The record is from RNAcentral.
CCUGGUUGAUCCAUCUAGUAGUCAUAUGCUUGUCUCAAAGAUUAAGCCAUGCAUGUCUAAGUAUGAACUAAUUCAGACUAUGAAACUGUGGAUGGCUCAUUAAAUUAGUUAUAUUUUUUUUUAUGGUACUAUACUACUAAAAUAACCAUAGUAAUUCUAGAGCUAAUACAUGCACCAAGUCCCGACUCUUUGGAAGGGAUGCAUUUUUUAGAUAAAAGGUCGGUGCAGGUUUGCCUACUUCUCCAGUAAAUCAUGAUAACUUGAGGGUUCACAUAACCCUUGUGAUGGUGAUGCUUCAUUCAAAUUUCUACCCUAUCAAUUUUCGAUGGCAGGAUAGAGGCCUACCAUGGUGGUCAUGGGUGAUGAAGAAUUAGGGUCCGAUUCUAGAGAGCAAGCCUAAUAAAUGACUACGACAUCCAAGGAAGGUAGCAAUCAUGCAAAUUACUCAAUGCUAACAGGGGGAGGUAAUGACAAUAAAUAACAAUACUGGGCUUAUCGAGUCUAGUAAUUGGAAUGAGUACAAUCUAAAUCUCUUAAAGAGGAUCCAUUGGAGGGAAAUUUUGGUGCUAUUAGCUAUGGUAAUUCCAGCUCCAAUAGCGUAUAUUUAAUUUGUUGUAGUUAAAAAGCUCGUAGUUGGAUCUUGGGUCAUAAAGGUCGGUUCGCGUACUCGGUGUGCACCUGCCCUUCCAUCCCUUUUGUCAGUGGUGUGCUCCUGGCCUUAAUUGGCUAGGUCACGGCUUCGACGCUAUUACUUUGAAAAAAUUAUAGUGCUCAAAGAAAGCUUAUGCUCUAAAUACAUUAUCAUGGAAUAACAUGAUAGGAGUUUGGUCCUAUUAUGUUGGCCUUCGGGACCAGAGUAAUGAUUAAUAGGGACUGUCAGGGGCAUUUGUAUUUCAUUGUCAGAGGUGAAAUUCUUGGAUUUAUGAAAUAUAGACCACCUCGAAAGUAUUUUCCAAGGAUGUUUUCAUUAAUCAAGAAUGAAAGUUGGGGGCUCGAAGAUGAUCAGAUAUCGUCCUAGUCUCAACCAUAAACGAUGCCGACCAGGGAUCGGUGGAUGUUGCUCUAAGGACUCCUCCAACACCUUCUAAGAAAUUAGAGUGUUUGGGUUCUAGGGGGAGUAUGGUCGUAAGGCUAAAACUUAAAGGAAUUGAUGGAAGGGCACCACCAGAAGUGGAGCUUGUGGCUUAAUUUGACUCAACACGGGGAAACACAUAGUAAGGAUUGAAAGAUUGAGAUCUCUUUCUUGAUUCUGUGGGUGGUGGUGCAUGGUUGUUCUUAGUUGGUGGAGUGAUUUGUCUAGUUAAUUCUGAUAACGAACGAGACCUUAUCCUGCUAAUUAGCUACGCGGAGGUUCCCCUUUGCAGCCAGCUUCUUAGAGGGACUAUGGCCAUUUAGGCCAUGGAAGUUUGAGGCAAUAAUAGGUCUAUGAUGCCCUUAUAUGUUCUGUGCUACACGCGCGCUACACUGAUGAAGCCAACGAGUUUUUCUUCCUAGUUCAAGAGGAUCGGGAAAUCUUCUCAAAUUGCAUCGUGAUGGGGAUAGACCAUUGCAAUUAUUGGUCUUCAACGAGGAAUUCCUAGUAAGUGCAUGUCAUUAACUCAUGUUGAUUAUGUCCCUACCCUUUGUAGACUCCCCCCAUCACUCCUACCGAUUGAAUGAUUCGAUGAAGUGUUUUGAUUGCAUAGAUGAUGGUGGUUUGCCACCAUCGACGUCAUGAGAAGUUCAUUGAACCUCAUCAUUUAGAGGAAAAAUAAGUCAUAACAAGGUUACCUUAGGUGAACCUGCAAUAG